Cyanistes caeruleus (blue tit) is the source of this 685-nucleotide long non-coding RNA. The record is from Ensembl. Lineage: Eukaryota; Metazoa; Chordata; Aves; Passeriformes; Paridae.
AAACCUACAAUUCUGACUGCCAAAAAUGAGCUUCAGAGUUCAGAAGACAAGUCUAGGGCGAUCUACAGGAAACAGCGGUUCUUGGAGCUUCUCGUUUUCCCCACUGGUCUCUGUGCUUCAGAUAACGUCAAGACUUUACCAAGCUCGAAGAUUUAGUGGGUCCUCAGAAAAGCAAGCUAUCUGUGACGUAAUCCUCAUAUGCUGUGGACAGAAAGUAAGGGCAGAGAAGUAUAUUACAAUGAUUCUUUUUUUUUUCCUAAUUCUGAAAAUAAUUUCACAACUACUGUCAGAAAGAUGUAAGCCUGCAAUGUCACAGACACUUUUCCUUAAUUUCUGCAUUUUUGCAAGGGAGUUUAGAUGCAAUCUGACAGCAACCAAAACUUUUUUUCACAUCAGAAAAGAAAACUAUAGCCAAGGAAAUGCCUAAACAAAUGGUAGUCAUUGAUUGCUGUCCUUUAGUUUCUUUUAAAUGUAAAGAGUAAAAGUUGAAUGAUUUUCUUAAAUAAUUCUGAAAAGUAUGUGGCCUUUUUUCCUGGCAGUUUCUCACAUUUCUCAGGGUCUCAUGAAAUUCAGUAUCUUACUACCCCUUAGCUACACAAGCUACUUUUGCUACACAGUCUUCCCCUAAGCACUGCAUCCCAAGUCUCAGGUUUUGAGAACCAAGUUUUCCCUGAGCCGAAGUGAG